UCUAACGUGGCAGAUAAGUGCGGUGGAUUUAAGCUCCACCAAUAAAGUAUUGAUACUUUCAUUAGAA
Molecule: transfer RNA, 67 nt
Filed under: Allodontermes schultzei
Lineage: Eukaryota; Metazoa; Arthropoda; Insecta; Blattodea; Termitidae
Description: tRNA-Leu
Source: RNAcentral